This 703-nucleotide ribosomal RNA is filed under the name uncultured bacterium. Its description in RNAcentral is "bacterial SSU rRNA". It matches the Rfam family "Bacterial small subunit ribosomal RNA", at positions 55 to 749 of the family's 1533-position model. The record is from RNAcentral.
AUGCAGUCGAGCGGUACACAGGAGAGCUUGCUCUCUGGGUGACGAGCGGCGGAUGGGUGAGUAAUGUCUGGGAAACUGCCUGAUGGAGGGGGAUAACUACUGGAAACGGUAGCUAAUACCGCAUGACCUCGCAAGAGCAAAGUGGGGGACCUUCGGGCCUCACGCCAUCGGAUGUGCCCAGAUGGGAUUAGCUAGUAGGUGGGGUAAUGGCUCACCUAGGCGACGAUCCCUAGCUGGUCUGAGAGGAUGACCAGCCACACUGGAACUGAGACACGGUCCAGACUCCUACGGGAGGCAGCAGUGGGGAAUAUUGCACAAUGGGCGCAAGCCUGAUGCAGCCAUGCCGCGUGUGUGAAGAAGGCCUUAGGGUUGUAAAGCACUUUCAGCGAGGAGGAAGGGUUGAGUGUUAAUAGCACUGAACAUUGACGUUACUCGCAGAAGAAGCACCGGCUAACUCCGUGCCAGCAGCCGCGGUAAUACGGAGGGUGCAAGCGUUAAUCGGAAUUACUGGGCGUAAAGCGCACGCAGGCGGUUUGUUAAGUCAGAUGUGAAAUCCCCGAGCUUAACUUGGGAACUGCAUUUGAAACUGGCAAGCUAGAGUCUUGUAGAGGGGGGUAGAAUUCCAGGUGUAGCGGUGAAAUGCGUAGAGAUCUGGAGGAAUACCGGUGGCGAAGGCGGCCCCCUGGACAAAGACUGACGCUCA